RNAcentral lists this ribosomal RNA (484 nucleotides) under Veillonella parvula. RNAcentral's name for it is "bacterial SSU rRNA". It matches the Rfam family "Bacterial small subunit ribosomal RNA", at positions 28 to 480 of the family's 1533-position model. The record is from RNAcentral. Lineage: Bacteria; Bacillati; Bacillota; Negativicutes; Veillonellales; Veillonellaceae.
GACGAACGCUGGCGGCGUGCUUAACACAUGCAAGUCGAACGAAGAGCGAUGGAAGCUUGCUUCUAUCAAUCUUAGUGGCGAACGGGUGAGUAACGCGUAAUCAACCUGCCCUUCAGAGGGGGACAACAGUUGGAAACGACUUGCUAAUACCGCAUACGAUCUAACCUCGGCAUCGAGGAAAGAUGAAAGGUGGCCUCUAUUUAUAAGCUAUCACUGAAGGAGGGGAUUGCGUCUGAUUAGCUAGUUGGAGGGGUAACGGCCCACCAAGGCGAUGAUCAGUAGCCGGUCUGAGAGGAUGAACGGCCACAUUGGGACUGAGACACGGCCCAGACUCCUACGGGAGGCAGCAGUGGGGAAUCUUCCGCAAUGGACGAAAGUCUGACGGAGCAACGCCGCGUGAGUGAUGACGGCCUUCGGGUUGUAAAGCUCUGUUAAUCGGGACGAAAGGCCUUCUUGCGAACAGUUAGAAGGAUUGACGGUACCG